This is a microRNA precursor of Amphilophus citrinellus (Midas cichlid), 57 nucleotides long. Lineage: Eukaryota; Metazoa; Chordata; Actinopteri; Cichliformes; Cichlidae. The record is from Ensembl.
CCGCCGUGUCAGAUCUACUGGAACUGGCUCGUCCAGCAGAUACCGACAUGGAUCGCA